This 614-nucleotide ribosomal RNA is filed under the name uncultured bacterium. RNAcentral describes it as "bacterial SSU rRNA". It matches the Rfam family "Bacterial small subunit ribosomal RNA", at positions 29 to 660 of the family's 1533-position model. The record is from RNAcentral.
AAACACGCUGGCGGCGUGCCUAACACAUGCAAGUCGAACGAGAAAGUGGAGCAAUCCAUGAGUAAAGUGGCGACCGGGUGAGUAACACGUGACUAACCUGCCCUAGAGUGGGGGAUAACCUCGGGAAACCGGGGCUAAUACCGCAUAACAUCGCGAGGGGAAGAUCCUUGCGAUCAAAGGAGCAAUCCGCUCCAGGAGGGGGUCGCGGCUGAUUAGCUAGUUGGUGAGGUAACGGCUCACCAAGGCGAAGAUCAGUAGCCGGCCUGAGAGGGCGCACGGCCACACUGGAACUGAAACACGGUCCAGACUCCUACGGGAGGCAGCAGUGGGGAAUUUUGCGCAAUGGGGGAAACCCUGACGCAGCAACGCCGCGUGGAGGAUGAAGUCCCUUGGGAUGUAAACUCCUUUCGAUCGGGACGAUUAUGACGGUACCGGAAGAAGAAGCACCGGCUAACUCUGUGCCAGCAGCCGCGGUAAUACAGAGGGUGCAAGCGUUGUUCGGAAUUAUUGGGCGUAAAGGGCGCGUAGGCGGUGCGGUAAGACUGUGGUGAAAUCUCCGGGCUCAACUCGGAAAUUGCCGCGGUGACUGCCGUGCUGGAGUGUGGGAAAAGUGA